GGUCAAGCUUCUAAGGGCGUGGGGGGGAUGCCUAGGCGUCAUCAGAAAAGUGAGCGUGGAAGGCUGCGAAAUGCUUGGGGAAGCUGCCGAACGAGCGUCGAUCCCAAGGUACUCACGAAAACCCAGGGAACUGAAACAUCUCAGUACCUGGAGGAACAGAAAUCAACAGAGAUUCCCUCAGUAGUGGCGAGCGAACGGGGAAUAGCCUAAACCGCGUGGGAUACCACGCGGGGUUGUGGGACCACUCAUUGGAAUUCGUUCCGAUGGAGUAAGAAAAAUGAAGUUCAGUCAAAGUUGUCUGGAAAGUCAUGCCAUAGCGGGUGAAAGCCCCUUAGACGAAGCACUUCAUUCUCUCGAGUGGCACCCAAGUAAGAUCGGGCACGAGAAACCCGGUCCGAAUCCACGGGGACCCUCCCGUAAGGCUAAAUACUCGAUGACGACCGAUAGCGAACCCAGUAGAGCGAUCGAAAGGUGGGAAGAACCCCGAAAGGGGAGGACACUGAACCUGAAACCCCAUGCCUACAAGCGGUGGGAGGGCGUUAACGCCUGACCGCGUGCCUUUUGCAUAAUGAUCCAGCGAGUUAUGGUAAUCGGCCUGGUUAACCUCUUUAGGAGGGGAGCCCCAGGGAAACCGAGUUUGAAUAGAGCGACAUUGUCGAUUGCCAUAGACGCGAAACCAGGUGAUCUACCCAUGGGCAGGUUGAAGCGAUCUUAACCGAUCGUGGAGGACCGAACUCACCAGUGUUGAAAAACUGGGGGACGACCUGUGGGGAGGAGUGAAAGUCCAAUCAAACCUGGAGAUAGCUCGUUCUCUCCGAAAUAGCUUUAGGGCUAGCCUCGGACCACUACACUAUGGGGGUAGAGCUACGGAAUUUGGAUGGGGGGCUUCCCGCCUACCCACUAAAACCCAACUCCGAAUACCAUAGUGAUUAUUCCGGGAGACAGAACGUGGGGGAUAAGCUUCACGUUCAAGAGGGAAAGAACCCAGACCGCCGAUUAAGGCCCCCAAGACGAUACUCAGUGGUAAAGGAAGUGGGAUCGCUAAAACAGCCGGGAUGUUGGCUUAGAAGCAGCCAUCAUUUCAAAAGUGCGUAAUAGCUUACCGGUCGAGCCAUCCCGCGCCGAAAAUGACGGGGACUCAAGUAUCGCGCCGAAAUCGCGGAUUCGUAAGAAUGGUAGGAGAGCGUUGCCCUCGGCGUAGAAGCUGGACCGGAAGGACCAGUGGAGCGUGGGCAAGUGCGUAUGCUGGAACGAGUAACGAUAAGAUGGGUGGGAAGCCCAUCCGCCGAAAGCUCAAGGUUUCCUGGGGAAGGUCAAUCCGCCCAGGGUUAGUCGGGACCUAAGACGAGGCCGAAAGGCGUAGUCGAUGGACAGCAGGUUAAUAUUCCUGCACCCAAUAUAAAGGUUGAACUACAGAGGACGCCGUGCAAUGGGCGGUCGGGGUGCUAGAUGUCCCCGUGCCGCAAGGCCGACAGCAUUGUUCUGGAAGCCGCCCUGCCACAUGGCCACGAAAAGCCCUGUAGGGACGAUAUAUUGGCCCGUACCGUAAUCCGACACAGGUGAGCGAGGUGAGUAUCCAAAGGCGUUCGGGAGAACUCUCGUGAAGGAACUCGGCAAAUUGACCCCGUAACUUCGGGAUAAGGGGUGCUCACCGCAAGGUGAGCCGCAGAGAAUCGGCUCUAGCGACUGUUUAUCAAAAACACAGGACGCUGCGAAUUCGCAAGAAGAUGUAUAGCGUCUGACGCCUGCUCGGUGUCGGUAGGUUAAGGAAGCUGGUUAGCGAAAGCAAAGCUG
This 1794-nucleotide ribosomal RNA is filed under the name bacterium. Its description in RNAcentral is "partial 23S ribosomal RNA". It matches the Rfam family "Bacterial large subunit ribosomal RNA", at positions 1 to 1907 of the family's 2925-position model. The record is from RNAcentral.